CAGGCUGAUCUUCCCCAAGAGUCCACAUCGACGGGAAGGUUUGGCACCUUGAUGUCGGCUCUUCGCCACCUGGAGCUGUAGGUGGUUCCAAGGGUUGGGCUAUUCGCCCAUUAAUGCAGUUUUGUUCAAUACUUAGGUAG
Molecule: non-coding RNA, 140 nt
Filed under: Triticum aestivum (bread wheat)
Lineage: Eukaryota; Viridiplantae; Streptophyta; Magnoliopsida; Poales; Poaceae
Also listed under: 1 other name
Description: Bacterial large subunit ribosomal RNA
Rfam family: Bacterial large subunit ribosomal RNA
Source: Rfam by way of RNAcentral